Musa acuminata subsp. malaccensis (wild Malaysian banana) is the source of this 1063-nucleotide non-coding RNA. The record is from RefSeq and is a predicted model, not a curated record. Lineage: Eukaryota; Viridiplantae; Streptophyta; Magnoliopsida; Zingiberales; Musaceae.
ACCGGUACGGUACGGUACGACGAACCUUGGUUUUUAGAACAUAUCAUGAUGAUAAUAAGUAAUUAGUUAGCAUCAGGAGCUGAUUUAUUCUAAAAUGAAAUUCAUAUGAUUACACUUGAGUAUCUGGAGAAGACAAUUAUGACUUAUGAUAAUGAACUAGGAUUAUUAUUAUUUAUUUCUCUAAUCAUAACUUGAUGCUUAACACAGACAAUCUUUCAGAUCUUGCAUCUGAUAUGGAUCAACCAUGAUUUCAUCCCUGUUCAAAUCUUUUGCAACCCAACUAGAUAGCAUCGAAUCGAUGUGUUAGUUUUCCUGGAGGCAUCAUGGAUUUCAGUCUCUAAUGAAAUAGGAAACCUUUCAAAUGGACAUAGGAUUAUUUGAUUCCUUAUAAUAAAGUUGACUUGAACCUAAACCUGAGAUAACUUUGAGAGACUUUAUUUUGGAAGAAAAAUGAGAGACUAAGUUCUUCGUGAAAUAAUAACAUUUUCAUACCAACUAUGGUUAUGCAUGUGACAUACAACUUAGCGAGGGGCACGAGUGAUGGUAUUACUUGCCUUGGUUCGGUGCUGUUCCUUCCCAAAUAGGAAGAUUCUACCUUUUACAGGUACUAUACAGAUCCAUCAGGCACAUUCUGGCAAUGCAGUGCAAAAGCAAUAGGCUCAGGAUCUGAAGGAGCAGAUAGCUCUCUUCAAGAGCAAUACAACAAGAUAGUUGCUGAUAUCACUGUUUGUGGAGGACUUAACCCUUCAAGAAGCUGAAACCAUAGCCCUUUCCAUCUCGAAGCAAGUCAUGGAGGAAAAGGUGACUCCAAAUAACCUUGACAUCGCAAGGGUUGCCCCAACUUAUCACCUUUACACACCUACUGAGGUCGAAGCUGUCAUUGCCCGCCUAUAAUGCUUGUCCUUGUACUCUUCCUCAUUCAUUUUCCUCUCCAUUUCGCAAGAUUUUCUAUAGCACUUUGAUGUGUAGUUUUCUUGAAAUUAAUCGUGCUGAGAGUCACAGGAUUCAAACAUUUGCACCUAACUCCAAUUGAAAUCAAUGUGAUUUCAUUAGAUUUAAAUCA